Molecule: ribosomal RNA, 497 nt
Filed under: uncultured bacterium
Lineage: Bacteria
Description: partial 16S ribosomal RNA
Rfam family: Bacterial small subunit ribosomal RNA
Source: RNAcentral
GAUGAACGCUGGCGGCGUGCCUAAUACAUGCAAGUCGAGCGAACGGACGAGAAGCUUGCUUCUCUGAUGUUAGCGGCGGACGGGUGAGUAACACGUGGAUAACCUACCUAUAAGACUGGGAUAACUUCGGGAAACCGUAGCUAAUACCGGAUAAUAUUUUGAACCGCAUGGUUCAAAAGUGAAAGACGGUCUUGCUGUCACUUAUAGAUGGAUCCGCGCUGCAUUAGCUAGUUGGUAAGGUAACGGCUUACCAAGGCAACGAUGCAUAGCCGACCUGAGAGGGUGACCGGCCACACUGGAACUGAGACACGGUCCUGACUCCUACGGGAGGCAGCAGUAGGGAAUCUUCCGCAAAGGGCGAAAGCCUGACGGUGCAACGCCGCGUGAGUGAUGAUGGUCUUCGGAUCGUAAAACUCUGUUAUUAGGGAAGAACAUAUGUGUAAGUAACUGUGCACAUCUUGACGGUACCUAAUCAGAAAGCCACGGCUAACUACGUG